UUUUCGAUCUUGGCCAAGCUUGACAAGGCCUAUGAAUUUGAAGUUAAAAUAUAGAAGGGUAGAUGAUUGAACAACUGUGAUGUUUUGAUGUAAUGACAAGAAAACCUUAAAAAGCAGAAGACUGGAAUCAGGUUCAAAAUAACAAGGAUUAGAACAAACUUUGCAGUUAAGGAACUAAAAUACUAUAAGAAUAUGGUAUAUAAGCUAAGAUACUACAUUAGUGUAUUCCUCAGUGGAAUGUCUCAUAAAUGAACCAAAAUAAAGUUGGUUGGUUUAUGGAAAGCAGUUUAUUCUUUUUCAUUUUUCAAAUAAGGACUACUUAGCAUUGCUUUUUCUUUCUACAAAACCCCUAUUCUAGGUGAAAUUUAUUCCAAAACAAUGAACUAAAAUGGUUAACAAAUAACCCACUUCUAUCACAAUUUGCAGGGUUUUCUUCUAUCAAUUUCCCAUUGUUGACUCUGACCAAUGAAUUGCUCGUCAAAUUCUUGCAUUUCUCAAAGUUUUAAAUCGCAAAUUUGGUAAUGAAUGAACUGAUAUGGACUGAAAAACUGACGAUGUCUUUAAUUUCUUAUUUCUUCAACAAUGCAAGUUCCUUUCCUUUCUACAAAGCCCGUUUACAACCAAAAUUCAGUCCAAACCUUCAAAUUUAAAGGAGUAAACAAAACACCCAUUUUCUAAAAGGAAAUCAAUUGCCAUUUUCUAAGGUUUCGAGGCAACUCGGACAAAUGUGGGCCAAAACUUAUCUGCUGUGUUCAGCAAAAGCUGUCCGUUCCAAUUGCGUCCCAUCAUGCAAUCAGGGCCGUCUGGCCCACACUGUUUCAUAGGAUCCUUGGUCCUAUAAGAGAAAGAUGUUCCCCUCUAAGAUUUCUCAAGGUUGGGUUCUCUUGUCAUUUUAAAAAAAGCUUUGGGGUGGUCUCAUUAAAUCUUUUCCCUUAUAUUAAUCUCCCAAACCCUCAAGGCACUUGCCAAUUAUUUAUUGAUUAUGCUUGUCUAAUUCGGUUUUCAGCACACUCUAUUUUUGUCUCUGCAAUUUCCAAGACUAAUUCGGUUCUAAACUAAGCACCCAACCCACCUUUUGCCCUGCUUAUGUUCCCGAGUUCCCUUGGGCCUGUCUCUAACGUCAUUAAACAAAAGUUCAGAUGUCUCUUUCUUUCUCUCAACAGCACUUUUAGAUGUCACUUUCCCUCUCUAACCGCAUGCCUUCUGAUUAGGAAAACAAGAUAAAAAAGAACCGAGAUUCCUUCUUGUUUUUGUUGUUAUUUAAGCUUGGUUUUAGAAAAGGAUGAACAUGCCUUGGUGUCGUGUUGGGAAAUUCUCUAUUUAUGGAGCCCAAGAAAGAUGGGGCUUGGGCAAAUCUAACGGGCACCAAGUUUGAAAUGCAGAGGGCUAAAAAAAACUGACCAUGAACUUGACUCCAAAGUAGUAAUGUUUAAUGGACAAGAUGUGGUUUUUUUGCUUAUGUCGAUACACUAUGGGCAGUGAUAGUCAUGUCUUAUAUUUUAGAAACUUAGACAUCUUGUUGGAAUCCUUUUAUAUUGAAAUCGUGCUAUAAAAGUACUUAAUGUCACCUAAAAUCUCACUUCGCCUUUUUUUUUGAAAUGUUGUAUAGAUGUGUCGUGUCUGAAAGGUCAAUUUUGAAAUUGACGUUUCUGACACUUGUUUCUGUGUUAGAUAUUUACAUUUGUAUCCAUUUUUAGGAAACACAUUUUUAUAGUUGUGUCACAAAGAUAUGAAUAUAAGUGCGUAUUUGACACGGAUACAAGCGUUCAAAACGUCAAUAUUAAAAUUGAUUUUUCAAACGCAACAUGUCUCUACAACAUUUAGAUAAAUGAGGAGGUGGUGUUUUAGGUGUCAUUAAAGUACUUUUAUGGCAGAUCUCAUCAGAAAAGUUAACAAGAAGUGUCUAAGUUUUUUUUAGGAAGUGUUAGAUAUGAGUGUCAUAUCCUUGUCGAUAUUUGCUAAAAACUAUUGACGCAUAUGCCUACAUUAUAAAGAAAUGUCGAUGUGUUAAAUAUUUGACACAUAAUUGUUAGAGAUGUCAAUAUUAAAAUUAGCCUUCCAAACACAUGUUUGCAUAUUUGUAUUAGUUAAAAUUAAAGUCCUUUUAUAAUAGUUCUUCAAGAGUAAAGUUUAACCAAAAACUGACUGGAUUUACCAAGUCCACGGCAUUUCUUUAGUGUGUCUACAAUGACUACGAAAGUAAUAGGAGUAUCCGUGGACAAAAAAGAUCUCUAUGGCUAUUGAGAAAGAAUCAAAUCAGAUAGUUCUAUUUCUCAAUGUUUCUAUAGUUCUAUUUCUCAAUCUUUCUGACUUGUGCUCCUAUGGAACGUGAGCCAAAAAUAUUGAAAAAAAAUUCAGUCAUUCAUUCUUUAAAACCAGUAUCCAUGUUAUGUGAUUUUACAAUAUCGCAUAUGUGAAAUUUAAACCUAAUAUUUCUUGAGCUUGUGUGAACUGGACAAGAUUAUUGGUGACAGGACAGUUUGGUGGAAAACUCAACUGAAUUUAAGACAAACAAAUCGCCCAGAUCUAAGAAAACUCUCUCUCUCUCUCCCUUGUGCAUGACCUUGAAGUUUCUCACACUACCCCCUCUCUCUCGAAGAAACGGCCAACUGAGUGAAAUAUUAAUGCGGAAGGCCUCAAAAGAAUACGGUGUGUCGUUUAUGUUUGUUUGUGGGUGAAUGACAAAUGAACAUUUCUUAAAAUACUCUCUGCAUGGCAAUGAAAGCAUUUUUUUAAGAAACCAUCUCUCUAUAACUUCCUCUAUUUCUCUCUUUUUUCCAUGCAUCGAUGGUCCCGGCCAUGAGGGGAGUUUCCAUCUUUCCAAGACGGCGGCUGCAAAAUCCAACACCAAGAAAACCCUAAUUUAAAGGCACGCGUGACUUCAAGGUGUCUCAAGGCUUGGCAGCAUAGAAACCGGGUCCAUACCAAUACACCUCUAUGAAAGAAGGCACCAAAACGUGGUGAAAAGUUUGCAUGGUGAACCACCACAAACGUGUUAUCUGUGGAACGUUUAUAUUUGGAAUGAGUUUAUGGUGUAAGAGCAAACUAGCCAUUAAAAAAUAUUAGGAAAAAGUAUAUCAUUAAAUAUGGUAAUUAUAAAAAACGGAUAGGUGACCAGGAUCGUCCACCUCAGAAACCGAUUUGGAUCGGUAAAUCGGUGGUUCGGAUCGUCACUUUAAUGUCUAGAAAAAAUAGUGAACUGGUGAAAAAGUGUGUAAAAACAGUGAAUCGGUCAAGAAUUGGUUUGGAUAAGUAAUCAAUGUUUUUACUAUAGCAAAACGGUGUUUUCACUAUAGCAAAUUGCCGGUUCUCUUUUAGACCAAGACAGUUUUUGAUAUAUUGAUAGAAUUGGCACGUGGUGAUAGAUUCUUGGGUCGAAAAGGACGAUUUUGUGCCGACCUGACGAUUUUUAAAUCAUUGAUAAUUAUGGAUUGGUCCAAAUUUGUGGAAAAUAUAUGCAGUGGUAUACUAUUAUGAUGUUUGCACCA
Long non-coding RNA from Amborella trichopoda, 3488 nucleotides. RefSeq lists it as uncharacterized. The record is from RefSeq and is a predicted model, not a curated record. Lineage: Eukaryota; Viridiplantae; Streptophyta; Magnoliopsida; Amborellales; Amborellaceae.